GAAGUAGAGAAGGUUUGAAAGAACAAUUUUAAAUAUUAAUGCAAAUAAACGGUGGCCAUAUUAUGUUGAAAAGGCUCGAGGGACAAAUCAAGGUACUAGUUAUUUCGUGAGUUCCUCGGGACGUUCAAAACAAGUCACAGGGCAACAGGGAAUUGUAUUCUACGUUGUAUUUUCUAGCAAUACAACAAAUUUAUCUUACGAAUAAGGGAGAACCUAGAAAUCUAGUGUUUCGGGUUUAUUUCGAGCGGAAAGUUUUAGAUGC
This 262-nucleotide small RNA is filed under the name Listeria monocytogenes. RNAcentral describes it as "Listeria sRNA rli117". It matches the Rfam family "Listeria sRNA rli117". Lineage: Bacteria; Bacillati; Bacillota; Bacilli; Caryophanales; Listeriaceae. The record is from RNAcentral.